Molecule: ribosomal RNA, 273 nt
Filed under: Klebsiella pneumoniae
Lineage: Bacteria; Pseudomonadati; Pseudomonadota; Gammaproteobacteria; Enterobacterales; Enterobacteriaceae
Also listed under: 1 other name
Description: partial 16S ribosomal RNA
Rfam family: Bacterial small subunit ribosomal RNA
Source: RNAcentral
CGGUCCAGACUCCUACGGGAGGCAGCAGUGGGGAAUAUUGCACAAUGGGCGCAAGCCUGAUGCAGCCAUGCCGCGUGUGUGAAGAAGGCCUUCGGGUUGUAAAGCACUUUCAGCGGGGAGGAAGGCGUUAAGGUUAAUAACCUUGUCGAUUGACGUUACCCGCAGAAGAAGCACCGGCUAACUCCGUGCCAGCAGCCGCGGUAAUACGGAGGGUGCAAGCGUUAAUCGGAAUUACUGGGCGUAAAGCGCACGCAGGCGGUCUGUCAAGUCGGA